Molecule: ribosomal RNA, 253 nt
Filed under: uncultured bacterium
Lineage: Bacteria
Description: partial 16S ribosomal RNA
Rfam family: Bacterial small subunit ribosomal RNA
Source: RNAcentral
UACGUAGGGGGCGAGCGUUGUUCGGAAUUACUGGGCGUAAAGCGCACGUAGGCGGCUUUGUAAGUUAGAGGUGAAAGCCCGGGGCUCAACCCCGGGAGGCGGAUGGAUACUGCAAGGCUCGAGUACGGAAGAGGCGAGUGGAAUUCCCGGUGUAGCGGUGAAAUGCGCAGAUAUCGGGAGGAACACCAAUGGCGAAGGCAGCUCGCUGGGACGUUAUUGACGCUGAGACGCGAAAGCGUGGGGAGCAAACAGG